Molecule: non-coding RNA, 547 nt
Organism: Pelobates cultripes (western spadefoot toad)
Lineage: Eukaryota; Metazoa; Chordata; Amphibia; Anura; Pelobatidae
Source: the annotation of a GenBank genome assembly
CCGAUACACAGACGGAGGUGUGGAAGAAAAAAAAUAUCUAAAGGUUGAACCAGAGCUCCCCGAAUAAUACACGUCCACCUUGACCCACCAAAGCCCUACCAUGAACCGAGCAAGAGUAACCCGUAAACACACACCCGCAUGGUAAUUAAAGGCACAGCAGUUAGCCAAACAAUUUGGCAAGGAGCGACGCCACCUCAGUUAUAUCACCAAACACAGAAACCCUCCUGCAGUUAACAGGGAGCCGAGCCAGGAACCAAACCCCAAACGCCACCACAAGGGCACUAACACACAGUUGGCAAAGGGAACAUAGACACCACAAAUAGGGUACGGAGCAACGAGCCAAGCAACCCCACAACACAAUUAGAAAAAAACACUUGUGGGGCAUGAGACUGACCCUUAAUAGAAGGGAGCUUUAGGAGGGAAACAAGCUUACCCACCCGUUCAUAUCCCUAAACCCUCCCCUUUUCUGUACCCUCUCCCCAUCCCACUAAGCCAACGUAAGGUAGUACUUGUCGAAUUAUGUAAGUCGUUGAGAUGCAGAUCAAGG